AUCACAGGAUUUCAAAAGCUGUUGAAUUCAAAACCAUACACAUAAGGAUUUAAAAUCAUAAGAUAUUUUCUCACAGUGUGAUGCUGAAGAAUUUACCUUUUGGAAUUCAAGGAAGAUGCAAGAAUCUGGAGUCAUUGAAGAUCUUGCUUAGAUAUGCAUCAAAAGGCCUGUAUAUCUGAAGCACAGAAUGCUUCGUCCUGUUGUUCGUACUGUAUUCUCUUCAGGCUGCACUAUGGGAGUCUCAAAGUUACAUGAAUAUGAUCUACCAUCUGGCUACUCUUGGGAGUACAAUGCCCUGGUACCUGAGGCAAGAAGUGGAGCCUCUGAAUCAGAAUACUUCUCCUGUGACUCCUCUUUUUCCAAUCCCUCUUGUGCUGAAUUCUGGAAGACUCCAGAGGAUACUUCUCAGCCUGAAUCAUAUGUGGAGGUCCCAGUCUGCAGUCAGACACCAGGAGAAAAGUCCUCUGACUCAGAAUAUUUCUCCUGUGUCUCCUCACCAUGCAAGCUUAUUUUUGCUGAUGAGGACGGAAUCCAUCCUAUGCAUCAAGAUGAUUCUUAUCUUAGAUCCCCUGAGAAGCCUUUACCCCAGGAUUUGGAGCAAUGGGAGACUUCUUCCCCUUUUCCACAAGUUUCUUUUCCAUUUAAUUUGGUUAAUAGUAAUGAGUCCUUUGUGUCAUCUAUAUUUAUGAAAAAGAAAAGGGUCAUGAAAAUUUACUACAUGCAUGUCCAAAUGAAAAAAGGUGUGGCUAUCCUAUGGGAAACAGAGAAAGGAUUAGAGCCUCCCUCAAAGAAGAUAAAAAUAGAAGAAAUGACAUAUCCUGAAAAGAUUCAUAUGGCAUUCACCCUCCCUCACAUGUCUACAAAGGAGUUCCUAACUGACAGUGAGUUCAGUUGGGACAGCAAAGUCCAAGAGGAAAGGGAGGAAACUGAUAGUCCAGCAGAACCUACAGUUCUGGAGGAAUGUUCCAGGGCCAAGACGCCUGAAUGGCUAGUGGCCCUUGAUAGUGGCUUCAGGUGCAUGGGCUGCUGCCGGGUCUUCCCCAGCUUAGACAUCCUUCAGGAGCAUGUGGAGCAUGGAGUCAAGGAAGGCUUUAGCUGCCAUGCCUUCCAUCUUGCUUUGGCCUGGCUCAAGAGCAAGGGGAGCAAGAAAGGGAAAAAGAAGAGGAGGAAGAAGACGAAAAUCAAGAAGACAACAUCUGGGCACCAGAACGAAAAACAUUUUGGCAUGAAGACAUCUUCAUGCAAAUAGACCAUUUUUCAGCCCCUAAAAGAGAGGAAUUCAAGGAAGCCAGACUCUACUCAGGAGGCUUCAUCUUCUCUAAGCAUCCAUCAUACCCACCUUUCUCUACACAUAUCUACCACCACACCACCAAUAGGAACAGAUAAUACCUUUUAAUAUUAUCCACUGCUCUCUCGAAAAGAGGGGAGAAGAAGGCAUUUAACAUCAUGCAGAAAAGCAAGAUGUCCACAUGCAAUUAUAGAAAAAUGAACGUCAGUAUAUUAUCUCCACAACUAAAAAUGAGAAAAGGAGACUCACUGGAAGUGGAAAUUGCUAUGAGCUGGUUUUCAGAAGAGUUUUCUUACAGCAGCACAGACCCAGUGGUGCAAAGAUUUCAAACAAUGGUGUCCUGCACACUCCAAUGAUCUGAUAGCAGUUCUUGUGAGCCCCAUAGCAUCGAGGCUCUGAGUAUAUGUGAUCAAUUGGUUGCUGUUGAUCUCUUCUGUCUGGUGUUGGAUGUUGUGUGUUUUGUCAUCUCCGUGACCCUGGGUACUGAGAAGUGCCUGCAACCUAUAAAUGAUAUAGUAAACUUCUCAUUGUUCUGAAGAUUUUGGCAUCAGAAAUGGGAUUUAAAGAAGACCUGCAACAACUCUGAGGACAGUCAACAAACAGGUACCUGUUCCCACAGGUUGAUUUCUCACCAAUCCAGGAGUUUGCGGGUAACUCUCUCUCUUGGAACUCCACUCUGAUUGUGUUUAGAGCACUCUGAUUUUAUUGUGCAUACUUGUAUUUUGCUUGUUUAAGAUUUUACGAAGUUUUUCUAUGCUUUUUUUGUAAUCUUUCUAGGAAAUAAGAAGUGCAAAGUUUGGUUUUCAAGUGCAUCAUUUUUUGGUGAACUCUCACCAGCUCU
RNAcentral lists this long non-coding RNA (2129 nucleotides) under Sus scrofa (pig). RNAcentral describes it as "lncRNA (ENSSSCG00025042969.1)". The record is from RNAcentral. Lineage: Eukaryota; Metazoa; Chordata; Mammalia; Artiodactyla; Suidae.